GGGAGGUUGGCGGUGGACGCUCCACUCGCCAACCGGGUCAGGUCCGGAAGGAAGCAGCCCUAACGAGUUCCGGGCGGGUCUUUGUCCAGCCUCCCACU
RNAcentral lists this signal recognition particle RNA (98 nucleotides) under Methylosinus sp. H3A. Its description in RNAcentral is "signal recognition particle sRNA small type". It matches the Rfam family "Bacterial small signal recognition particle RNA". From Rfam's summary of the family: The signal recognition particle (SRP) is a universally conserved ribonucleoprotein involved in the co-translational targeting of proteins to membranes. Archaeal SRP consists of a 7S RNA and homologues of the eukaryotic SRP19 and SRP54 proteins. The record is from RNAcentral. Lineage: Bacteria; Pseudomonadati; Pseudomonadota; Alphaproteobacteria; Hyphomicrobiales; Methylocystaceae.